GGGCCCGUAGCUCAGCCCGGACGGAGCGCUGGCCUUCGGAGCCAGAGGUCCCGGGUUCGAGUCCCGGCGGGCCCC
Molecule: transfer RNA, 75 nt
Filed under: Candidatus Calditenuaceae archaeon
Lineage: Archaea; Thermoproteati; Nitrososphaerota; Candidatus Caldarchaeales; Candidatus Calditenuaceae
Description: tRNA-Arg
Rfam family: tRNA
About the family: Transfer RNA (tRNA) molecules are approximately 80 nucleotides in length. Their secondary structure includes four short double-helical elements and three loops (D, anti-codon, and T loops). Further hydrogen bonds mediate the characteristic L-shaped molecular structure. tRNAs have two regions of fundamental functional importance: the anti-codon, which is responsible for specific mRNA codon recognition, and the 3' end, to which the tRNAs corresponding amino acid is attached (by aminoacyl-tRNA synthetases). tRNAs cope with the degeneracy of the genetic code in two manners: having more than one tRNA (with a specific anti-codon) for a particular amino acid; and 'wobble' base-pairing, i.e. permitting non-standard base-pairing at the 3rd anti-codon position.
Source: RNAcentral